This 429-nucleotide ribosomal RNA is filed under the name Gemmatimonadota bacterium. RNAcentral's name for it is "Gemmatimonadetes bacterium partial 16S ribosomal RNA". It matches the Rfam family "Bacterial small subunit ribosomal RNA", at positions 355 to 776 of the family's 1533-position model. Lineage: Bacteria; Pseudomonadati; Gemmatimonadota. The record is from RNAcentral.
UAGGGAAUCUUCGGCAAUGGACGAAAGUCUGACCGAGCAACGCCGCGUGAGUGAAGAAGGUUUUCGGAUCGUAAAACUCUGUUGUUAGAGAAGAACAAGGACGUUAGUAACUGAACGUCCCCUGACGGUAUCUAACCAGAAAGCCACGGCUAACUACGUGCCAGCAGCCGCGGUAAUACGUAGGUGGCAAGCGUUGUCCGGAUUUAUUGGGCGUAAAGCGAGCGCAGGCGGUUUCUUAAGUCUGAUGUGAAAGACCCCGGCUCAACCGGGGAGGGUCAUUGGAAACUGGGAGACUUGAGUGCAGAAGAGGAGAGUGGAAUUCCAUGUGUAGCGGUGAAAUGCGUAGAUAUAUGGAGGAACACCAGUGGCGAAGGCGGCUCUCUGGUCUGUAACUGACGCUGAGGCUCGAAAGCGUGGGGAGCAAACAGG